GACGAACGCUGGCGGCGUGCUUAACACAUGCAAGUCGAACGGUGAAAGCGGAGCUUGCUCCGCUGGAUCAGUGGCGAACGGGUGAGUAACACGUGGGCAACCUGCCCCUCACUUCGGGAUAACUCCGGGAAACCGGGGCUAAUACCGGAUAUGACCUCCUUGGGCAUCCUUGGAGGUGGAAAGUUUUUCGGUGGGGGAUGGGCCCGCGGCCUAUCAGCUUGUUGGUGAGGUAGUGGCUCACCAAGGCGACGACGGGUAGCCGGCCUGAGAGGGCGACCGGCCACACUGGGACUGAGACACGGCCCAGACACCUACGGGAGGCAGCAGUGGGGAAUAUUGCGCAAUGGGCGAAAGCCUGACGCAGCAACGCCGCGUGCGGGAUGACGGCCUUCGGGUUGUAAACCGCUUUCAGCAGGGAAGAAGCCGCAAGGUGACGGUACCUGCAGAAGAAGCACCGGCUAACUACGUGCCAGCAGCCGCAGUAA
This 485-nucleotide ribosomal RNA is filed under the name uncultured bacterium. Its description in RNAcentral is "partial 16S ribosomal RNA". It matches the Rfam family "Bacterial small subunit ribosomal RNA", at positions 28 to 523 of the family's 1533-position model. The record is from RNAcentral.